This is a non-coding RNA of Amphiprion ocellaris (clown anemonefish), 487 nucleotides long. The record is from the annotation of a RefSeq genome assembly. Lineage: Eukaryota; Metazoa; Chordata; Actinopteri; Pomacentridae.
CCAAACAUAACAGAUAGUGUGUGGAAGAUGCUGUCACUGCAUUACUGGGUCAUGUUUCCUUUGUUUGUGAUCACACUGAAAAGUGUCAACUGUCAACAACUGACUGCAGUGAAGGAUAAAGAGUCCAGUUUAGAAGGAAGCACUGUGACUCUGUCCUGCAAAUAUUCUAAAACUGUGGCUGCUACUGAUGAUUUCUUCUGGUAUCGAAAACAUCCAGGAAAACCUCCAGAGUUCCUCAUCUUUCACUAUGGAACACAAAAUGUAACAACAGCUGGACUGUUUGUUACAGUGAGUGAUGACAAGAACCACAUCAUCAUGAAGAUCUCCUCUGCUGCAGUGUCAGACUCUGCUGUGUACUACUGUGCUCUGAGGCCCACAGUGACAGGAAACAGCAAAACUCUGUACAAAAACCUUUGGAGCAAAGACAACAGAAAACUCCACAACAUCCACUAGAGGGAGACACACCCAGUUACACUUCUGUGAUCUG